Molecule: ribosomal RNA, 534 nt
Filed under: Crocidura foxi (Fox's shrew)
Lineage: Eukaryota; Metazoa; Chordata; Mammalia; Eulipotyphla; Soricidae
Description: partial large subunit ribosomal RNA
Rfam family: Bacterial large subunit ribosomal RNA
Source: RNAcentral
CACCUCUAGCAUUACCAGUAUUAGAGGCACUGCCUGCCCAGUGACAUUAGUUAAACGGCCGCGGUAUCCUGACCGUGCAAAGGUAGCAUAAUCAUUUGUUCCUUAAUUAGGGACUUGUAUGAAUGGCCCCACGAGGGUUUAACUGUCUCUUACUUUCAAUCAGUGAAAUUGACCCUCCCGUGAAGAGGCGGGAAUAUAAAAAUAAGACGAGAAGACCCUAUGGAGCUUAAAUUAAUUUGCUCAACAAAAUUUAAAUCCAGCCCAACAGGAAUAAUUAUAAUUUAACUGAGCAAUAAAUUUUGGUUGGGGUGACCUCGGAGUAUAACAAAACCUCCGAGUGAUUACAACUAAGACAUACUUGUCAAAGUUACGUAACUUAUUGAUCCAAUCAUAUUGAUCAACGAAACAAGUUACCCUAGGGAUAACAGCGCAAUCCUAUUUGAGAGUUCAUAUCGACAAUAGGGUUUACGACCUCGAUGUUGGAUCAGGACACCCAAAUGGUGCAGCAGCUAUUAAAGGUUCGUUUGUUCAACG